UGUAGAGAGGACGAAUGGUAAGUCACCGGGCUCAUGCCCCGAAGAAGUGGGUUCGAUUCCCGCCUCUACAG
Molecule: transfer RNA, 71 nt
Filed under: Tubastraea coccinea
Lineage: Eukaryota; Metazoa; Cnidaria; Anthozoa; Scleractinia; Dendrophylliidae
Also listed under: 14 other names
Description: tRNA-Met
Rfam family: tRNA
About the family: Transfer RNA (tRNA) molecules are approximately 80 nucleotides in length.
Source: RNAcentral